Molecule: long non-coding RNA, 5830 nt
Organism: Gossypium raimondii (Peruvian cotton)
Lineage: Eukaryota; Viridiplantae; Streptophyta; Magnoliopsida; Malvales; Malvaceae
Exons: 2
Source: RefSeq, a predicted model, not a curated record
UUCCUUAAAUACUAGUAACUAAGAGAAAAAUAGUUAUGAAAUUUAAAAUCAAAAUUCUUCAGUACUCUCUUCUUCUUCUCUCUCGAUCUUUUUCCUUUUCUGUUCUUUUACUGUUUCUAGAUCCGUUACGUGACAAAGGUAUCAGAACUUUGUCGAUUCUCAUUGCCGCGGAGGGUGUGACCAAAAAUAAUUGGAAAUGAUGCAAGGUGAGCUUACUCAACUACAAGUCGAAUUCACACAGUUAGAUGUAAGGAUUGACGCACGUUUGAAGGAUUUUCAGGAAGGAAUUAAAUCUGAGGUUCGUUCAAAGGUACGAUCUCAACUUCGUUCUGAGCUCUAUUCUUUGUUUGAACAAUAUUUUGGACAAAAUCCUCCUGUUGCAGUUACUAGUUUGAUGUCUAGCAAAGGAAAAGGUAUCUUAGGCUUUCCUCCUAAUUUUCCAGCAAAGGAACAUUUAGUAGUGUCUCCUAUGCCAGAUCUAGGACAUUCGGGUGUGUCUUCGCGAGGAGGGAGUUUGGAAACUGUGAAUACUUCUUUUCGAGUAGACUGUCCUCACUUUGAUGGUGGAAAUUUUAGAGGGUGGUGGUCUAAGUUAGAACAAUAUUUUGAGGCUAAAGGUUCGGGUAGUUAUGUUAUAUCUAGAUGGAAAGACAUUAGACUGGCAUCACUUUUUUAUGCACAGACAUGGAGGGUUGCACUAGUUGUCUUGGGAGGUAUAUGCUAGGGGACUAAAGGAACGUUUUGGAUUUGAUUCUCUCCUUGAUCCCAUGGCUGAGUUGGUAACUCUUAAGCAACACGGAUCUAUUGAUCAGUUCCAUGAUGGAUUUCUGAGCUUGUUGAAUCAAUUAAAUUUUCCAGAGACCUAUGCACUAAGCAUAUUUAUUAGAAAUUUGAAACCUGAGAUAGGUCAGUACCUUCGGUUAUUUAAGCCUCAAACAUUGGUGGAGGGUUAUAAUUUGGCUAGGUAGGUCGAGAAUAUUGUGUUAGGACCAAUAAGGAAAGGGUUAAUUGCUGGUUGUGAAGUUAGUUCUUUUAGACCUUUAUUCCCUAUCUCUAAAAUGCAGCAAGGAAUGGGGAGCUCAGCAAUAGUAGGGGGAACGACAAGUAGUAAUUCAGGACAAAUAACUCCCCCAAUAUCUUAAGCAGUGUUGGAGGAUAGAAGGAAGAAGGGCCUCUGUUUCUGGUGUGGCUCAAAGUACUCACCAGGUCAUAAAUGUUCCAAGUCUCAAUUGUAUCAGCUUAUUAGUGAGCCAUUAUGGGAACAGGAUUCUGACAUGAAGAGUCCAACUUCUGAAGAGUCUCAAGAUUAUUCUGAGCAAUUGGAUCUAGUAGAUCAAGUUCCAGAAAUUCUUACUCCUAUGUUAUCAUUGCAUGCUCUCCAAAUACUGCAGGGACAUAAUACUAUGAGAUUUUCAGUUAUAAUUGGUCAAACUGAGGUGAUUGUAUUAGUGGAAUCAGGCAGCACACAUAAUUUUAUAGAUUUUAACGUGGCUAAAAGAUUGAAUUUGGCAGUGGAAUCGAGGAGUACAUUGAGAGUGAUGGUGGCAAAUGGGGUUCGAUUAUCUACUCAAGGUUUAUGUAGAUCGGUUUCUUGGGAAGCACAGGGUUAUAGUUUCACUACUAAUUUCUUAAUAAUAUCAGUGAAGGGAUUUGAUUUGGUGCUUGGCAUUCACUGGUUAUUAUCUCUUGGUCCUAUUGAAUGGAAUUUCUCCAAUCUAACUAUGCAGUUUAAUCAUAUGGGGUAAAGUUGCAUUCUCUAAGGCAUAGUGCCAGGUUCAUUACACAUUGUUCCAAGUAGUCAACUAUCCAAAUGAUUAAGUCUGGUAGGUAAUGGUCCAUACCCUAUGUUAUUGACUUCUUGUUAUCAGACUGCCCUCAAGAUGCCUCCUUAAUGAGUUUGAAGAUAUAUUUCAGACUCCCACAAGCCUACCUCCUCCUCGAUUACAAGAUCACAAGAUUCCCUUGAUUGAUGAAUAUAAGGUAGUUAAGAUGCAGCUUUACAGAUACCCUACAGUACAGAAUACUGAAAUCGAGAAACUGAUACAAGAAAUGUUACAAGUUGGGAUAAUUCGAGAUAGCAACAGCCCUUUUGCAUCUCCUGUGGUGAUAGUGAAGAAAAAAAGAUGGCAGUUGGAGGCUGUGUAUUAACUAUAGACAGCUUAACCAACUGACCAUCAAAGACAGGUUUCCUAUACCUGUCAUUGAGGAACUUUUUGAUGAAUUAGGACAAGCAAACUUUUUCUCUAAAUUCGAUUUGCAUUCGAGUUAUCAUCAGAUUCAAAUGUGAGAGAAAGAUGUGCACAAGACAGCUUUUAAAACUCAUGCUGGCCAUUAUGAAUUUUUGGUCAUGCCAUUUGGCUUGACCAAUGCUACUUCUAGCUUCCAAUCAUUGAUGAAUUCAGUCUUUAGAUCAGUUUUUAGGAGAUCAGUUCUUAUUUUUAUGAUGAUAUACUCGUCUACUCCCAGAAGUGGAAUGAUCAUUUGAUUCAUUUGCAAGUGGUGCUAUAAGUAUUGAGGUCUAAUUAGCUUUAUGCUAAGAGAUCUAGGUGUAUUUUUGAAGCUACUCAGGUGGAGUAUCUUGGGCAUGUUAUUUCUCAAGGGGUUGUCAGUAUGGAUAAAACUAAGGUGGCAGGUGUUUUUUUAUUGGUCUCCUCCAAAGUCUGUCAAGGAGUUGUAAGGCUUCCUUAGAUUGUCUGGAUAUUACAAGCGGUUCAUCAAGGGGUAUGGAUUACUAGCUAAUCCCCUCACCACUUUAUUAAAAAAGAUGUUACUUGGCAAUAGAUAGUGUUGGAACAGACAACAUUUGAUCAGCUCAAAGAAGCUGUUUGUCAGGUUCCAGUUUUAGCCUUGCCAAAUUUUUAAGAGACUUUUUGUGUUGAAACGGAUGCCGGUGGAAAAGGGGUUGGGGCAGUUCUGCAGCAGAAAUGGAGGCCAGUGGCAUAUUUCAACAAAGCCUUGGGAGUCAAGUAUCAAGCUUUGUCCAUCUAUGACAAAGAAAUGCUAACAGUACUUUUAGCAGUCAAGAAAUGGCAUUUUUAUCUUGUGGGAAGACAUUUCUUAAUCAAAAUUGAUCACCAGAGCUUGAAGUUUUUAUCCGAGCAGCAAGCAAUUACACCUUACCAGCAGAAGUGGGUUGCUAAGAUGCUGGGUUACGAUUAUUCGAUUUCAUAUAGAAAGGGAGCUCAGAAUACAGUCGCAAAUGCUUUGUCAAGAAAACCUCAUGAACACAAACACCAAUUCUUCCAAUGUGAAGGGAGUUUUGACUCUUCUUGGUCUGAGGUAUAGGAUCACAUUUUUGCUUUAUAUGAGACAAAUAAGAAGCUACACUAGUUGUGUGAGGAUGUUCAAGUAUAACCACAGUUGCAUCCCAAGUAUUCUUGGCAUGGCACAUUCCUUCGCAAACUGGAAAAGAUUGUGGUGGGGAAUGAUGUUCAGCUUAGAAGACACAUAUUUGGUCUUUUUCAUUAUAGUUCCUUGGGGGUUAUUCCGGCUUCGAUGCUACUAGGCACAAGAUCUCUGGGUUGCUAUACUGGAAAGGCCUUUCUAAAGAUGUUAAGCGAUGGGUUUGUGAGUGUGUUGUUUGCCAGCGAUGCAAAACUGAUAAUUCUGCUUCACCAGGGUUUUUGUAACCUUUACCCAUACCAGAUCGAGCUUGGACUACCAUUAGUAUGAAUUUUAUUGAGGGUCUGCCUCUCUCACAUGGUAAAUUUGCCAUUCUUGUAGUGAUUGAUCGAUUGACCAAGUAUGGUCACUUUAUUGCUUUAGCCCAUCCUUUCACUGCCUUAAUAGUAGCUCAAGAGUAUUUUAGUCAGAUUUAUAAGCUUCAUGGGAUGCUUGAAUCUAUUGUGUUUGAUAGGGAUCGAAUUUUUUUAAGUAAUUUUUGCUAAGAGCUGUUUCGGCACUUAGGCACCUAACUGAAUAUGUCCACUGCCUACCAUCCCCAAAUUAAUGGUCAGACAGAAACGUUUAACAAAUGUUUGGAGAGUUAUUUGCGAUGCAUGACUAGUGAAAAGCCCUCUGCUUGGGCGUCUUGGCUACCUUUGGCGGAGUGGUGGUACAAUACCACUUACCAUUCUGCCAUUCAGACUACGUCUUAUAAAGCUCUCUAUGGGCAAGAUCCUCAUAUUCAUCUCCCUUACCUGACUGAUGCUUCUCAAGUGGCUACAGUAGACUUCACUUUGCACUACCGAGAAGUCAUGUGUAAAUUUUUAAAAUUCCAUCUUACUCGAGCUUAGGAUCGGAUGAAACAAAUGGGUGACAAAAGGCGAUCGGAAUGAGAAUUUCAGGUGGGGGAUUUGGUAUAUUUAAAGUUACAACCAUAUCGACAACACUCUUUACGUAAGUUCAAGUACCAAAAAUUGUCACCCAGGUAUUUUGGUCCCAUUCCAGUGGAGGCUCGUGUAGGACAGGUUGCUUACAAGCUGUUACUACUAUCUUCUGCUCACAUCCAUUCUAACUUUCAUGUCUCUCAAUUGAAGAAGCAUAUUGGCUCUACGGUGAGUGCCUUUAAUUUGCCACCAAUGGGGUCUGAUGGAGCUCUUCUCAAGACACCGAUUUGAGUAUUGGAUAGACGCUUGGUCAAGCAAGGUAACCAUGCUGUUGUGGAGGUUCUCGUCGAGUGGGCUGACACAUUUCCUGGGGAUUCAACUUGGGAGAAUUUGCACAAUCUUUAACGUCAAUUUCUUGCUUUUGAACCUUGAGGACAAGGAUCCUGCUUCAGGGGAGGGGUAUUUGUUAUGGAACAGCUCCAAGGGUCAUUUUCAUAUUUCUGUUAUUGUUGUUACUUCUUCUUUUUGGAACGCUGUGUUUUAAUUCUUGUUGUUGUUCUAGCUAUACAGUGUGUUUUGACCAAUAGAUUAGCAUUAGCUUAAAUGAUUCAUUUUACAGGAAACACUGUUGAUUGAAACGAUGUGGUUUAGGCUAUUAUUACUGUUAUUUGUUAGUCUGUUAUUUGGUUUCCUUAAAUACCAGUAACUAAUAAAAAAACAAUUAUGAAAUUUGAAAUCAGAAUUCUUCAGUACUCUCUUCUUCUUCUCUCUCGAUCUUUUUCUUUUUCUUCUUCUUUUAUGUUCUUUUACUGUUUCUAGAUCUGUUAUGUGACAGUGUUCAUCCGGAGUUGGUUACUCAGAAGGAUUUGAGUUACAUAACGAGUGCUCUUGGAUCACUUCUAUAUAUGGAUAGCAUAAUUAUAUCUCAGAAUUGACUUGCUUGUGUAAAGGGAUAAGGAGAAAGUUUGGCUGCCUAAAGAAGACUCUAAUCUUUUUGGUGAUUUAAAAGUUGCUGCUUGUAGCUCUUUAAAGGCUGUUGCUGAGGAUAAGAUUGCUCGUAGUAAAGACAAGGCUAUACAUGUUGAUGAUUCUGCUGGUGAUGUGUCUGGUGCUAAGAGUCAGUUUGGAUUUGUUGGAUCAAGUAACAAAUUUUGAAGUUUUGUCUUCUAAAAUUGAUGAGGUGCCUGGUAGUAGUGAUUUUGUUAAUAAUGAGAAUGGUGAUGGGAGACAGGUUUCUUACCCGAAGAAGGUUCGAGUGGCUUCACAAGGAGUUUCUAAUCUCAUGAAAGCUAUGAAAUCCAAGAAGAAAUGACAUUUGGUUAAAAGGCAAAAGGAAGAAUCUAGUAGGGUCGCCUGCCAAUUGUGGUACUUCUUCAUCCUUUCCUACAUGAUUCUUGUUUUUUGGAAUGUUAGAGGGUUUAAUAAUCCUCUUAAACAAAAUUCUGUUGUACAGAGAACUAAAAAAUUAGGUGUUGUACAGAGAACUAAAAAUUUAGGUGUGGAAUUGUCUUGUUUGCUUGAAUCUAGAGUCGAAAAAAUAAGGCCCUUGCCAUUUUAGAUAA